This 254-nucleotide ribosomal RNA is filed under the name uncultured bacterium. RNAcentral describes it as "partial 16S ribosomal RNA". It matches the Rfam family "Bacterial small subunit ribosomal RNA", at positions 524 to 776 of the family's 1533-position model. The record is from RNAcentral.
UACGAGUGCUUCAAGCGUUAUCCGGAAUCAUUGGGCGUAAAGGGUGUGUAGGCGGUCAUGUUAGUCUCCCGUUAAAUCUUUCGGCUCAACCGAGAGUCCGCGGGGGAAACGGCAUGACUUAGAGGACGGAAGAGGUCUCUGGAACUCAUGGUGUAGCGGUGAAAUGCGUUGAUAUCAUGGGGAACACCAAAAGCGAAGGCAAGAGACUGGUCCGCUCCUGACGCUGAAACACGAAAGCGUGGGUCGCGAAUGGG